UACAAUGAAAUGCAUAAAUAUAGUGGGGUACAUUAUAAUAUAAUAAAAAAAUAAUGAAUAUAAUGAAAUACAGGGAGAUAUAUUGAAAUAUAUUAACAGAAAGUUCAAGUUUCUCAGCCCCAAACCCCGUCGUCUUUGUUCAAGAAUAACCCUAAUGUUGUGUCGUCGAAAGGGCCGCGAUUCUGACUUGAAACUCCAUUGUUCUUGUUACCAUAAUACCCUCAUACGCGCUUCAAAAAAUUUAUUCUUUACAAAUGAAGCCAUCGGAUCCACCGUCAGCAGUCGACAAUCUCGAGAUAAUUUACAAGCACUGUGGCCACAAGUAGUCCGAGGCGGUGGCUGUGAGGUUGAAGUAGCAUCAAAAUUGCGAAGCUUGGAGGUCUAUCUAAAGGUUUGAACAACUUCAGUUGUAGAAUUUUGUUAUAAAACUAAACGGGUGAUGUUUUCUUGAGUUGGGACGGGACUCCUUAACAUUGGUUCUGAUUGAGUAGUGAGAAAUGUUGGAUGGAUUCUGCUACUGAAAAGAUCGAGAAUUUAUAGGCUUGGUGCAUAUGGUUGAAAAGCUUAAGGUGGAAGAUUAGAAGAAGGGAGAAUAGAU
Molecule: long non-coding RNA, 598 nt
Filed under: Nicotiana benthamiana
Lineage: Eukaryota; Viridiplantae; Streptophyta; Magnoliopsida; Solanales; Solanaceae
Description: long non-coding RNA (NBEN_LNC017642)
Source: RNAcentral